CUUGGUCAUUUAGAGGAAGUAAAAGUCGUAACAAGGUUUCCGUAGGUGAACCUGCGGAAGGAUCAUUACAGUGUCCCUGCCCUCACGGGUAGAAACACCCACCCUUGUGUAUUAUAUCUUUGUUGCUUUGGCAGGCCGCCUUCGGGCACCGGCUCCGGCUGGAUCGCGUCUGCCAGAGGAAACCCAAACUCUGAAUGUUAGUGUCGUCUGAGUACUAUCUAAUAGUUAAAACUUUCAACAACGGAUCUCUUGGUUCUGGCAUCGAUGAAGAACGCAGCGAAAUGCGAUAAGUAAUGUGAAUUGCAGAAUUCAGUGAAUCAUCGAAUCUUUGAACGCACAUUGCGCCCCGUGGUAUUCCGCGGGGCAUGCCUGUUCGAGCGUCAUUUAAACCAAUCCAGCUUGCUGGGUCUUGGGCUUCGCCUCUGGGCGGGCCUUAAAAUCAGUGGCGGUGCCACUCGGCUCUAAGCGUAGUAAUUCUUCUCGCUAUAGGUCCCGGGUGGAGGCUUGCCAACAACCCCUAAUUCUUAAAGGUUGACCUCGGAUCAGGUAGGGAUACCCGCUGAACUUAAGCAUAUCAAUAAGCGGAGGA
This 589-nucleotide ribosomal RNA is filed under the name uncultured Ascomycota. RNAcentral describes it as "eukaryotic LSU rRNA". The stretch from base 230 to 383 matches the Rfam family "5.8S ribosomal RNA". RNAcentral also lists the same sequence under 1 other name. The record is from RNAcentral. Lineage: Eukaryota; Fungi; Ascomycota.